Stegodyphus dumicola is the source of this 272-nucleotide long non-coding RNA. RefSeq lists it as uncharacterized. NCBI's taxonomy places the organism in Eukaryota, Metazoa, Arthropoda, Arachnida, Araneae, Eresidae. The record is from RefSeq and is a predicted model, not a curated record.
GCGUUGUAGUGUGGUGUAACGAAUUGUUCCAGUCCUGAAAACGAAAGAAAUAUAUUUCUUUUAAUGUGUACAACUUUAUUUACUUUAUCCCAUAGAAAAUUCCCUCCAAAGUAAUCUACAGCAACAGAGUGCAGUACAAUACCACAAGUUUUCCAGCCAAAUGCGAAAAUUCCACACCUUUAUCACGAGGAAAUCUGCAAUGGCAUUUAGGAAUGACAAAUAGAAGCUCAACUAUUCGAAGCAGGAGACCGAAGAGAAAAAAGGAAGAGAGA